GCUGUAGCUCAAUGGUAGAGCAUCUGCUCUGCAUGCAAAAGGUCUUGGGUUCAAAUCCCGGCAUCUCCU
Non-coding RNA from Podarcis lilfordi (Lilford's wall lizard), 69 nucleotides. NCBI's taxonomy places the organism in Eukaryota, Metazoa, Chordata, Lepidosauria, Squamata, Lacertidae. The record is from the annotation of a GenBank genome assembly.